ACGCACGCUGGCGGCGUGCUUAACACCUGCAAGUCGAACGGAAAGGCCCUGCUUUUGUGGGGUGCUCGAGUGGCGAACGGGUGAGUAACACGUGAGUAACCUGCCCUUGACUUUGGGAUAACUUCAGGAAACUGGGGCUAAUACCGGAUAGGAGCUCCUGCUGCAUGGUGGGGGUUGGAAAGUUUCGGCGGCUGGGGAUGGACUCGCGGCUUAUCAGCUUGUUGGUGGGGUAGUGGCUUACCAAGGCUUUGACGGGUAGCCGGCCUGAGAGGGUGACCGGCCACAUUGGGACUGAGAUACGGCCCAGACUCCUACGGGAGGCAGCAGUGGGGAAUAUUGCACAAUGGGCGGAAGCCUGAUGCAGCAACGCCGCGUGCGGGAUGACGGCCUUCGGGUUGUAAACCGCUUUCGCCUGUGACGAAGCGUGAGUGACGGUAAUGGGUAAAGAAGCACCGGCUAACUACGUG
Molecule: ribosomal RNA, 467 nt
Filed under: uncultured bacterium
Lineage: Bacteria
Description: partial 16S ribosomal RNA
Rfam family: Bacterial small subunit ribosomal RNA
Source: RNAcentral